UACGGAGAGGGCUAGCGUUGUUCGGAAUUACUGGGCGUAAAGCGCACGUAGGCGGACCAGCAAGUUAGGGGUGAAAUCCCGGGGCUCAACCCCGGAACUGCCUUUAAAACUGUUGGUCUGGAGGUCGAGAGAGGUGAGUGGAAUUCCGAGUGUAGAGGUGAAAUUCGUAGAUAUUCGGAGGAACACCAGUGGCGAAGGCGGCUCACUGGCUCGAUACUGACGCUGAGGUGCGAAAGCGUGGGGAGCAAACAGG
Molecule: ribosomal RNA, 253 nt
Filed under: uncultured bacterium
Lineage: Bacteria
Description: partial 16S ribosomal RNA
Rfam family: Bacterial small subunit ribosomal RNA
Source: RNAcentral